UUUUAAAAAUAAUUCUGGUACGUGCAUUGACCAUUUAGUGUGGGUGGUUAGGGACGUUAGGAAUGUUGAUGGGGGAUGUUAGCAUUGUUGCGUUUUGGGGAACUAGUAUGUGUAAUUUUCGCGAACAAUAACCUUUAGUUAAAAAAUAACUAUAACUUUUUUAACAUUAGCGUGUAAGACCUUGCCUCGGAGCCAGCUGGUGUAUAUAGCUGUAUCAGUUAGAAGUUCGCUAGAAAUGUGGCCAAUGUGUUGAAUUUUUCUGUUGGCAAUGUGAUGCAUUAGGCUAGUCAUGUCUGCCUUGUACAGCAGUUCGUUUGGAUGUAAUAGGUGUGAUAAUUUACGUUUGCAUGGGUAUAUAGUGCCUACCGCAAACAGCAAGAACAUUUCUGUGAACUAUUUGUUAGGACUUCGAGAUGUUAACACUAAAAUAACCUGGCAGUGAAAUUAUAGGCUUUGUGUAAAACUUAGCGACAUUAGCAUCUUGUAGUGUGUAGGAGCCAGCUGAUGUAUAUCAAUCACUAAAGAUAUGGCCAACGAAUUUUUGUGUGAACAGUUAUGCUAGCCUAUUUUAAUCUAGGCUUACUUAUACAGUAGAUAGUGUUGAGUUGAAAUGAACAUUUCGGUUGACUGUGCUUAAACAACUGCAAGUCCCACAAUGCACCACUAGCAGGUCAGUGCAGCCUGCUCAUUAUUUUAAGUGGGAACACCUGAGAAGGAAAGGAGGUCUCUCAGUAAACACUCCAGCAAACAUUUCAGCAGAGAGAGACACACGAAAAGGAUCUACUCGUGGUGCAACCAAAGAAGCCACUGGUACAGUAACUUAUUGGGUUUUAUUGCGAUGAUUAUUUGCUGUUGAAAGUGCUGUUAUAAUCAUUGAUGGUUCUAUAAGUUGAUUGAUUUGUGUAAUGAUACUAACCAAGCAGCAUACAGGCAGCAUGCUUAUCAGCUUGCUGCAUGCAAGUGAGUUUGGUCUUUUGUUUGAGUAUAUUUUGUUGAUUAUAAAUUGAACAAUGAUGUUUGAAGUGCUUUUCUUAAACACCUAUGCUGCAUACUAUUUGCAGUCAUUAAACAGUCACUCUGUCAUUAGUUGGGAUUGUUGCAGCAAUUCCAACUGUUGUAAGCCUUGGUACUUGGUACUGAAAUUGUUUGAAAUGUAUUUGAAUUUUUUGUAUAACUUGUGCUUUUUGUGUUUUUAAGGUUUUCAACCUAAAUGAGCCAACCAGUAAAAGAAAUAAAAAUCAUUCUGAGUUGGAACGAGUUGUCCCGUGCGUCCUUUGGGAUUAAUGCACCAGGCCGUUUUCAAGUUGGGCCAGAGAGUAGUCAGAAAACACCUGAGAACUUGACAGUUGAAAACCACGCGAAGCAGCCUGGACUGAGGAUAAACGGCUUCAGACAUCCAGAGACAAGCUGUUGACGCAGAGGAAAUAAAGAUGGCAGAAGACGCGCUGGGGAAGACGGUCAAGCAGCUCAAAAGAGAGAGGACCACUGCAAAAAGCAGCUUCACCAGACAGGCCAACUUCAUUUCCAGAGGGGUAAGCAGCAUGCUUGAAGCAGAGUUAAAGGAGGAGUUCAUUAAACUCUCACACUGUUUUAGACAACUGCUUGAUGCCAAUGAUGACUGCAGGAUUGGACUACUGGCUGAGAUUAAAAAGCCAGAAGAGGAGGAGGAGGAGGAAGAGGAAGAAGUAGUGCUUGAAAAGCAGCAAGAGCGCGACAUUAAAAGGACAGAAAAUGAAGCUGAAACAAAAUUUGAAGAAGUAAAAGAUACUGUCCAGACGAACCUGUGGUCAAGGUAUGGCAAAAAUGAACUCGAAAUGGCAAUCUUAGAAGCAGAAAAUGCCUUUGAUCAAGCAAAUGGUGUAGUUGUGGAAAGUACUAAUGUGGAGUGCUAUGAAGUGCACCUGACCCUCUUACUGAAGCGGCUAAAGGAGCUCACUCCAGUGAUGUCAGCUUGGGAGCGAUGGAUCCCUGCGUUAUCAAAGGAUGAGCUAGACAACAGAGUCAAGAAUCUGAGAACGGCUAGCAACAGGCUUGAACAUAGAAAAGCUGAAUUCGUCACUGCACGUAGAAUUGCAGAACAAACACUAGCCGCAGAAGCUUCAGGAGCUGGGAGGGGGAGAGCACUGCCCACACCAGCCACACCAAUUGUGAAGAUCAAGCCAACCACUCUGCCCAUCUUCAAUGGAUGCAAAAGAGAAUACCACAGAUGGAGGAAAGACUGGGAGAGCCUACAAAGGCAAGGAGAGCCAACGGGAUCACCUGAAGUCAAGAAAAUUCAGCUCCUGGGUAGUGUGGAGGACAAGAUUUCAAAGGACCUCAGACUUUCAACCAACAACACUGCUGAGGAUAUCUUCAGAGUCAUGGAGAACAGGUAUGGCAACAAGUCAACCAUCGCCAUAGAAAUCCUUGAGGAGCUGGAGAAGAUGCCACAUGUGAGGGGGAACCAGCCAAGGAAAGUCAUUGACCUCAUACAGUCUGUGGAGAGGGCCCUAGCAGAUCUCACAGAGCUGGGAAACUCCGGAGCCAUGAAUAACCCACUGGUAAUAAAAUCUAUUGAGAGUAAGUUACCUGACUUUAUAUUAAGAGACUGGUUAAAGUUUAUGGUCGACCCUGCAAAUGAUGUCACUUCAGACAACCACUUUGGCAUGCUCUUAAAAUUCCUAAAAAAACAGGAAGAAAUCCUAGAGAGGCUUGAACAGCUAAGGACUGUGGAGAAGAUGGAGAAAUCAGACCAUCCAGAAAAUAGAUAUGAGCGAAAAUAUGCUUCAACAAGAACCACAGAGAAAGGAGAGCUGGAGGAUGUGUGUGGUGUGUGUGGUGAUGGUGGACACAAAAACAAAAUCUUCUUCUGUAGGAAGUUUAAAUGGCUGAAGCUACCUGAAAAGAGAUCUGUCUUAGAAAAGCUGGGAGCGUGCAUAAAAUGUCUUGGAUGCCAUGAUGACGAUGGAUAUUGCAGAGAUACCUUCCUAUGCAGAAAUAAAGACUGUAAAGAGGGAGGAGGCACCCCAGACCACCAUUACUUUCUCUGCCCAAAAGGAGAACUAAAAAUGGGUGAGGAACAGAGUGGAAAAGGCAGCAGAGGUAAAAGCAAGCUAACAGAAGAACAAGAGGAGUUCUUGUCUGAACUUUCCCCAGAACUAGCAGAACAGUGCAAAAAGGCUUUCACCAGCAAAACCGCAGUUACCAGCAAUGCUAAAGACCAGUCAGAGCUUUUAGAGAAAAAGGGGCUGUCUGAACUUCCUGUCAUCAUGAUGCUGAUGAAGGUCACUGCAAAUGCAGGGCAGAAGAUUGGGACUUUGGUUGACCUUGGAUCUGACACUAACUACAUUACCCAUAAGGCUGCUGACAGGCUGAGGUUACAAAGUGAGAAGAUAACCUUAGUUGUGCACGGGGUUGGUGGAAUGACCAUGAAGGUGAACACUAAAAGAUAUGUGCUCAAAGUCAGAGUCAAAACUCCUCGAGGAACAGAGAGGGCACAUGAACUUGUCUGCUACGGCCUGGAUGAAAUUGCCAAAGUGCACAAAGUGAUUGAACCUAGGAAGUUGCAGAAAUUCUUCCCAGAGGUCGAGCUUGAGGAAUUGAGAAGGCCAAAAGAAGUUGAACUCCUCAUUAGCCACCGAGAGGGAAGACUCGCUCCGCAGAGGCUGAGAGUUGUAGGAGAUCUUGUCUUGUGGGAAAGUCCAUUGGGUAAGACAGUGGGCGGAGCACACCCCGACUUGUUUGAGGAAGUACAAGUGGCAGCACACGAGUCCAAAACACACUUUGCUCGCUCCAUGAGGACAGCUGCUGUCAAGUAUGAGGAAAUCCUCAGGAGUUCAACAACUGAGGCAGCCCAGUUACAACAGAAGUGGAAAGGACCAGAGUGGUACGUAAGCCAUCUGGUGGCACCAAACCCUCAUUCAACUCAACCUGCAGGUGAAGCAGGGAAAAAGAAGAUGAGGGAUGGCAAGGAUUUUCUAAAACAGGAGGUGAGACCAGAGACGCCUAACCCUCUGACUAGGAGGGGACUCCUAAGCCAAGUAGCUGGACUAUACGACCCAGUUGGCUUAGUUACAUCUGCCAAACAGAAAGGGGCAAUCCUUGUCAGGAAAGUGUUCCAGGAAGGUGGAGGCGGUAAGCUGACCACGUGGCAGAAUGGACCAGACCUCCUGAAGUGGUCAGUAGACAAGUGGCCUAAAAAGUCUGCUGGAGAGGUUGCAGCUAAUGCCAGGGAGAGUGUAAACAAACUCCAGAGGAAGGCAUUCACAGCUGUAGUGACAAGAGCUCAAGCAAAAAUUGGCCAGAAAAAAGAAAACAUGCAGACUCUUCAGGAGAACCUGAGAAGUGAAAUUCCAGAGGAAAGAACUGCAUCAAACCCAAGUCCUUCUCUUCCAAAAAGGAAACCUGCUGGCUGGGUAAUCAAAAAGCUUGUGAAAGUGAGGAACUUCAGUAGCUUGUCCAAACUGGUCAAGGUCAUCGGCUGGGUGGGGCAAGCAGCACAUAAGUGGCGCGAGAAGAAGGGCCAGACCAGAGGUCCGUCAAAGUGGGAGGCAAUGUCUCUCAAGAAAAGGACCAAGGGAGUGGCUGGGACCCUUCUCAGAACGAGGAAAAAAGCCUGGGUGAGUGACUUCACAACCAUGGACCUGUUCGGCCCUUAUGAAGUGAAGAAAAGAGUGAGACGCAAAGUGUGGGGAAUUGUGUUCUGUUGCAUGGCCUCCAGAGCCAUACACACUGAUGUGGUGAGUGACCAGUCAUCAAAAGGAUUCCCGCUGGCAUACCAGAGGUUCACUUCACCUAGGGGAUUCACUCAGGAAACUGUGUUCAGACCCUGGCACUAACUUUGUUGGGGCCAAGCCAUGUCUGGACCAAGUGAACAAGUCUGAGGCUUGAGAGACUGGUGUGACCUCCCUGGGUUUGAAAAACCAGGAGCUCAAGUGGGAGGUGUUGAGUUGAAAUGAACAUUUCGGUUGACUGUGCUUAAACAACUGCAAGUCCCACAAUGCACCACUAGCAGGUCAGUGCAGCCUGCUCAUUAUUUUAAGUGGGAACACCUGAGAAGGAAAGGAGGUCUCUCAGUAAACACUCCAGCAAACAUUUCAGCAGAGAGAGACACACGAAAAGGAUCUACUCGUGGUGCAACCAAAGAAGCCACUGGUUUUCAACCUAAAUGAGCCAACCAGUAAAAGAAAUAAAAAUCAUUCUGAGUUGGAACGAGUUGUCCCGUGCGUCCUUUGGGAUUAAUGCACCAGGCCGUUUUCAAGUUGGGCCAGAGAGUAGUCAGAAAACACCUGAGAACUUGACAGAUAGUUUGUUUGGAUGUCUAUGGAGAGGAAUUUGUGUCGAAGUAUAUAAUGUCUUUAUGAAAAAUAGUUCUCUCAUCCAAAAAACAUUCCUUUGUGAAAAUGCUUGUGUUGGGGUGGAGGUGUUAAUAGUCUGCCUGCAAAUAUGAUUCAAGGCAAUUAGCCCUCCUGUUGACACCUUCGACACAACAAUGAUGGGGUCAUACAUGUUAAAUGGGCACUUUUUUUGUUCAUGAACGACGUGGUUAGCAGCUAAGAGACUCACCUGCAUUUACCAAAACAUGCUGCUUACUGUUCAUAUCACUUGUAUCUUAUUCCAUACUGUAUAUAUUCUAUUUAUACAUUUUUAUAUUACC
Molecule: RNA transcript, 5635 nt
Organism: Clupea harengus (Atlantic herring)
Lineage: Eukaryota; Metazoa; Chordata; Actinopteri; Clupeiformes; Clupeidae
Source: RefSeq, a predicted model, not a curated record